UACGGGGGGAGCAAGCGUUGUUCGGAUUUACUGGGCGUAAAGGGCGCGUAGGCGGCCACGACAAGUCACUUGUGAAAUCUCCGGGCUUAACUCGGAAAGGUCAAGUGAUACUGUCGGGCUAGAGUGCAGAAGGGGCAACUGGAAUUCUCGGUGUAGCGGUGAAAUGCGUAGAUAUCGAGAGGAACACCUGCGGCGAAGGCGGGUUGCUGGGCUGACACUGACGCUGAGGCGCGAAAGCCAGGGGAGCGAACGGG
Molecule: ribosomal RNA, 254 nt
Filed under: uncultured bacterium
Lineage: Bacteria
Description: partial 16S ribosomal RNA
Rfam family: Bacterial small subunit ribosomal RNA
Source: RNAcentral